RNAcentral lists this ribosomal RNA (497 nucleotides) under uncultured bacterium. RNAcentral describes it as "partial 16S ribosomal RNA". It matches the Rfam family "Bacterial small subunit ribosomal RNA", at positions 28 to 507 of the family's 1533-position model. The record is from RNAcentral.
GAUGAACGCUGGCGGCGUGCCUAAUACAUGCAAGUCGAGCGAACAGACGAGGAGCUUGCUCCUCUGACGUUAGCGGCGGACGGGUGAGUAACACGUGGGUAACCUACCUAUAAGACUGGGAUAACUUCGGGAAACCGGAGCUAAUACCGGAUAAUAUAUUGAACCGCAUGGUUCAAUAGUGAAAGACGGUUUUGCUGUCCCUUAUAGAUGGAUCCGCGCCGCAUUAGCUAGUUGGUAAGGUAACGGCUUUCCAAGGCAACGAUGCGUAGCCGACCUGAGAGGUGGUUCGGACACACUGGAACUGAGACACGGUCCAGACUCCUACGGGAGGCAGCAGUAGGGAAUCUUCCGCAGUGGGCGAAAGCCUGACGGAGCAACGCCGCGUGAGUGAUGAAGGUCUUCGGAUCGUAAAACUCUGUUAUUAGGGAAGAACAAAUGUUUAAGUAACUAUGCACGUCUUGACGGUACCUAAUCAGAAAGCCACGGCUAACUACGUG